This is a long non-coding RNA of Amphiprion ocellaris (clown anemonefish), 2851 nucleotides long. RefSeq lists it as uncharacterized. NCBI's taxonomy places the organism in Eukaryota, Metazoa, Chordata, Actinopteri, Pomacentridae. The transcript is spliced from 3 exons. The record is from RefSeq and is a predicted model, not a curated record.
UUAGAGAAUGCCUGAAGCAGCAGCAAUAAUUCUACCUGUCUGGCACUGUUCCCUCGAAGCUGCGCGCGUGCGCAAUUGCGCACUGCUGACACGGUCUCCGCGAACAGAAACUCUGUGCUGCGCACAAAAAAAAAAGUCCAACCUAAAUUGUAAAUAAAAUAAACACGUAACAAUUCAUUCUGUGCUAUUUUUCAAUGUGAGUCAGUGAGUGACCGGUGACUGGCUGCUGCAGCCAAUGAUGCGAUUCACAUACGUAUUUACCAUAGACUGUAUAUAAUGGUAUUUACGCAGCUAAUCAACGUCAGGCGUCCUUAUGUGCAGCCAUCGUUGUUGUCAUAGAUAUGAAUGAGUAGAUAGGACACGCCCCUUUGAGCUGCGUGCUACUGCGAGGCUAAGCUAGUGGGGGCAAAGUUUCAGUGCAUUCCGUUGAUGUAGACGGCGUGAAAACGGAAACAACAAGUAUGCCGGCUCACUGUGCUGCAUACAAUUACACACUGCGUUGUACGAUUGAGACAAGGAAACUUGGAAUGACUUUUCAUAGGUAAGAAUAGUUUUUGGCCCUUUUUUCAUUAUGAAAUCUUGUUGAGAGCUUCCAGUCUAUGAGAGCUAACUAGUUAGCCACUAGCAAAACGCUAAGGCGAGCUAGCAGCUUGACAACCAAAUACCAGACGAUUAAUAGUAGCUGUAGUAUAGUUGUACAAGCAGUAGUAGUAAUACUAAAAGUACAAGCAGCAGUAGUAGUAUAAACAGCUGUUAGAGUCGUAGAAGUAGUAUCAGCAUUUGUAAUAGUAUUACAAGUUGUAGUAGCAGUGCCAGUAUCAGCAGCAGUAGUUAAUGUACUACCACUACUACUAGUAGUAGUCACAUUGCUAUUACUACCACCAAUACUACCAAUAGUAGUUAUAAAGCCUAACUCAUGUAUAUCCAGAUUACCAUCUAUGUUCUUCCUCCAAACCCAUUUUAUGAUUGGGAUUACAGGCAGUUCUUUAGGACUGCUCUCAAAUAAUUGAAAUGUUACUAAACAAGGUUAUACUUAUCAAAUUAAAUAGCUCUGGUCUCCAGUAUAUUGGCGAAUUCGGUUCUUUGUACUUAAUUUAUUAGCAUUAUUUCUUUUUUUAAUAUGUUGUGUAUAGACUUAAUUACUUCUCUGUCUACUUUUCUUACUCCAUGUAGGUUUCCCAGAGACUAUGGGUUGAGGAGGAAUUGGAAGUUUGUCGGCUUAGACUUGGUGUCAUUCCAUCAGUGUUAAACUUCCUGGUUCAUCUUGGAAGAGUACGUGCCAGAAAGACCACAACCAAUCAGCCUUGAGAUCUUAGGCAGCGUCUCCCUGAGGUCCCUCUCUAUCUCUCCACACAUCUACCAACCACUGGAACACAUCUCCAAAGUUCUGCCAGGCCAGCUCAGCUUCCCCUCAGAAGAAGUUCCGCCACCUGCCAGAUGAAGGAGCCUUUUGAGAGGCAGCUGGCAUCGUGAUUGGACUGUACUUUGGUCUGUUCCAAUCCAGCUUCAGCUCCAGAGACGGCAGGCGGGACGAGUCAACGGAGGCCGGGUGGACGAAGGUAUGCAGCUGACUACAAUCCAGAAAACAACAGAGGAGGAGUGCAGCGGCCCAGGACCAGAACAACCAGAGUAGCAUGACCAAAGAACUACAGACUCUUCACAACCUGCUCAAACUCUUGGUACAGGACCUCACCACACGGGUCAAGAAGGUUUCUGUCUCAUAUCUACUCUGAAGCUCACCUUCUCCUGCUCAAACUGCUGACAAAUGUUUCUGCUGCUCUAAAGUCUGGUCUCCAGAACUUCCUAAAAACUCUCAAAGUCUCUUCUGCUGCAGGUUGCUAUGUAGAACUGUUGCAGAAAACCUCACUAAACCACAUGGAGGGGCCUCAAGAUAGUCGUCCAAAUGAAACUGUACAAAAACCAAACUAGUACAACCCAAACACUAAAGUCUCCUGCAGCCUACCAGAGAACCUCUGAGAACAGAGAAUCAGGACAGGAACUCUUACCUUCUGGACAACCAACAUUGGUUCUCAAACAAGAAUACAGAUUGUGUCUGACCAAAAACCUCUGAAGACUCACUACAGCCAAGAUAAAGACACAACUCAGCUGCAGCAAAUCCACUAAUCACUGCACACAUUAGCACCAUGUGCUAACUGUGGCUAAAGAACCACAUUUACCAAGACAACUAUCCAGUACAAAGCCCUCAAACACACCAAGAAACACAUUAAAGACGAUUUUACUGCUGAAAGCUGCAAGCCAACGCUUAAAGAACAAACUAAAGCAAUGGAGCCAAACCCGGUUCAGUGGUGAAGCAGAGGAAAUGUUUGACUGCAGCUAAAUAAAGCAGGGAGACACUGAGCUGCUCAGGUGUUCCUGAUAAUACCAAGCAGCCACCUGGACAGCCAAUAGGAACACAGCUUCCUGGAAGUCCAGAGGGCUGGGUUAGUGAAGGAAAUUUAAUUUAAAGUUCAAGCAGAAAGUUAAUAAAGAAAGUUGAAAGCCACCUUUUGAUCCCUGAAAUCUCUGAGUUUUCACACAAAGAACACCUGAACAUGUCAAACUGGCUUCAUAGUAGAACCAUCAUUGUAAAAACGUCAUAGUAUGGUGUGUUGCUCAAAAAACAUUAGGACCCAGCUGUCAGGGGACAAACAUGUAAGAAACAUGAGAACAGAGAGAACCCAACCAGUAGGUCACAGUUUAUCAUCCCCCAGUCAUCUCCUGAAGUCCAUAUGGUGAGAGACAUCAGUAUCUGGUUGUUAAUUUACCAGAGGAUGCUUAUAAUCAUGCUGAUGUGGUCUGUACUCUGCAGUAUUUUAGUGACUCAAUAAAUGCCUAAGUUGUUUUUUUUUAA